This is a long non-coding RNA of Chelonia mydas (Green sea turtle), 5059 nucleotides long. RefSeq lists it as uncharacterized. NCBI's taxonomy places the organism in Eukaryota, Metazoa, Chordata, Testudines, Cheloniidae. The transcript has 2 exons. The record is from RefSeq and is a predicted model, not a curated record.
UUGCUGUGAACAGUGAAAUAGAAAAUGAAAAACAUUCAGGGCAUUAUAUGAAGCCCAGCAGUCAUGCUCCAUAUGGUUUGAAGAGUUGAGCAACGCUUGAUAAAGAUUUUACAACUUCAUUUGCUUAACAUUUGUAUGAUUGCUUUGAUCUAGCCCUCCCAGCCCAUUCCUGGACUGAAAAACAUGAGGCAUUUAAAACAAAGAAAUCUGUUUUUAUUAAUGGAGCAUUUUAUAUUGAUUUUAAUCUUGUGUGUUGUUGGUGUUUUAAUAUGCAGUUUUAUUACCAUCAAGCCUUUUCAAAGAUUACCUUGUGGUUAUGGCAAUGGAUUGGAACUAGUGAGAUCUGAUUGCCAAAUCUGCCACAGCCGUCCUACAUAAUCUUAGGCAUGUAAUUUAAUCUCUUUGUGACUCUAUUCCCCACCUGUAAAAUGGAGAUAUUAGCACUUCCCUAUCUCACAGGGGCAUUUUGAGCAUAGAUACAAUAAAGAUUGUGUCAUGCUCAGAUAUGAUAAUGAUGAGAGCUAAGUAAAGACCUAAGGUGGAUAGAUGGGGACCAUAUACAUAGGUAGAUAGGAAAGUACGGUAGAAUACUCCUGGAACAAUGUGGAGUAUAAAUAAAAUGUAUUCUCAGUCCAAUAAUACUAUAUGUUUAAUAACUGUUUUGUGUUAAAAAAAAGCAUAACACAUAUGUAACACAGUCUUCAAAGCACUUUACAAACAUUAAGUAAUGUUUAUGGCACCCUUGUGAGGUGAGUGUUGUUGCCAUGUCAGAGACAAGGUAAUGGAGGCUCAAAGCAGUAAAGUGAAUUUCCUGAGGAAACAGAUGUCACUGUUGGGUUUGGAACACAGAAUUUCCUGGCUCCCAAACCUGUGCUCAGACCAUUAGAUCAUGCCCUUCUUUUUAGUUUUAAUCAACCCUUUCAAAUACACACACACACACACACACACACAUACAUACACACACAUACAUACACACACACAUGCAUAAAACCCUCAUUAAACAAUGCAAUAAUGAUCAUCAGACUGAUUGUUCUGCAAUAAUCAUGUCUCAUCGAUACUCCUCUAACUAAACCAUACCGCGUAGUUGUUUCCCUACAGAAAAAGAAGUUCAUAUUCUCCUUCAAAUACAUGUGCACAGUUUGCAUACAUUGUCACCAUAUAACCACUGGAUUGUGGAGGAAAGAAGGAGUGUGGUCUAGUGGUUGGAACAGAUGGGGAAACAGAAGAAAAGAGAGGCCAAAGGCAUAAACCAAAGCCUCCCAAUGUGAGAGAGACACCUAUGGACUUCAAUGUAAAGACUCUUAUUGACUUUGGCUUUGGGCUUGAUCCAGAUUUCCACUAAAGAGACUAGAAAGAGAACUCACAUCUUCCAUCUCUCAAUCCAACUCACCAACUUUAAUACAGUUAUUUCAGUAUAGUAGUCACAGUUGCUAUGCCUACCAAACCAAAAUAUGUGCUUUAGUCAGGCCAUGUAUAUCAGGAGAUGACCAGGUCCUUGUCAUUUUAUGUACUAUUUUGAGUUGAGUUUAGUUUUAUUUUAGAUUUUAUUUUUGUUUGUUGGUAAAAUGAGUCUUAAAUCCAUUUCGCUGUUUCGAGACAGAAAAGUGCAUAAUAAAAUGGUAGCCCAAGAUGCACUUCAGUCGAGUUGGUUGGGAAAGAUGCCCCACAGCAUGGUGUGUUUCCAUGGGGAAAGGUUCAUUGUUGUUGGAAAUCUCCAGAGCCAUGUAAAUGAAUGCCCCUCCUAGGCCCACAAGCACACAUCCAGAGCACAGUACAGCUAAGAAGAACAUAAGGUCUGUGGAGCCAUGUGGGAAAACCCAUCCUGCCAUAUAAAUUAUAAACCCUAGGCAUUUUUUAGUAAUUCAUGUAAUCCUCACUUUAUAGAGGAUUCUACUUCUGGGAUUCAUUGCUGGCUUUCAAACCAGUAACCACAAGCAGUCCCUCUUCUAGACGUAAAGUAGCAGUCAUCCACAACCAUAAACAUACAACCACAGUCACCCCACAAACUCAAACAGACAGCCAUAAAAACCUCAUAUAGUUCUAAACCUCUGCCCGAAGUAAUCUCUUCCUACAUCAUGUCAUAAAAUACCUAACCUCAUCUGCAAGUUCUCUGCGACAGGGAUUCUUGGCAGGAUUUUCAAAUGUAUCGACAGCCCCUGAAAUCAGGCCUCAAGUUCAUACUCUCUGCAUAAGAUUUCAUUGGCUAUCUAUGGUACCAUGUACAAAUAUUACAUAAUCCUCCUAGUAAACAGAUAUAUAAACAAUAUCAAAGACUCAAGAAAUGUAUCCACAAAAUGGGUCCCCCCCACAGCAUUGUUUGGGCUCCUUUUCAUUCUAAAAUGAAAUUUAAAAAAAAUCAGAGAAAACUGCCUUAUUAACAAAAGCUAUUACAGUAAUCGAAACACCACAUUAAGCUUUGCUUGCACAGCACUAGACACAAUCAGAAACAUACAUUAGUCAUUUAGAUACAAGAUAAUUUACUGUAUUUUAAGGUCAUGUGGCAUGCUGAGCUCCCGCUUCUCCUUCUGAGCUGUUGUCCUCUUUGAGGUUUGGUGGCUGAAAAACACACCACCAUUUUAACAGAUAAAGGAUUACUAUUAACAACUGGUCGAUGAAAACAGCAACAGAUAUAAACUCACCCACCUGCUCUGGAAGCAGCUACAGAGUUUUGAUUGUAUAUUACCGUAACAGAAUGAUUGUGUGGCACAUCCAUAGGCAGUUAGGCGCCACCUAAAGGGUGUGGCUCCUCCCAGAUGGCAAGAACCCCUGAUUCAAGAAGUAACCUGAGUUUCCUGUGCUUCCUGCUUUGGGGGAAGAAGUAGUACCAGCUUCCUGGGCGGAGCUGCUCCUGUACCCCCUUCAGUAAUAAAAUACAUGCUCUGUUUACUGAGUUCACGCCAGCAUCCAUCCAGCUUUCCAGGGACUUUGCCUGUUUGUGAUACUCCACCACUAAGGAGACCACAAGGUCACGCAACAUUACGCUAAGGCCCUGCAGUUUAUUACUUAAUUUUAGUGAAAGGACGUAUGGCUGCUGGCUUUACCCAUUUCUGUUUUAAAUGUGGAGUAGACUUGAGCUCUGGAGCAGGAAGGCAGAGUUGAUGGUGCUUUGAGAUUAGGGCAACUUUGUUUCUUGCCCCUCCUCUCUCUCCUGGCUGUAUUUAUGGUUUACCAUAAUGUAAUAUAAUCUGAGUUGAUAACUGCAUGGUAGGAACAGGUUAAACAAGGAUAAUUGUGAACUACAUAAAUGUAGAUGCCAAAAUAAAUUUCAUAAUCCAGGGAUGAAGGAGAGAUGGAGAAUGAGGUGGAAGAAUGUCCCCAGCUCUUUAUCUUUCUCUCUGUAGAGGAAUAAAGCAUAAUGUAAAUCCUAGUUGUGGGAAUUUACUCUCAUCCUUUUGCAUGGCCAUGUACAUCCACGGUAAAGUAUCUUGGGCAUUCCUGAUAUUAAUCAUGACCAGCAAAAUCUCUGUUAUAGGGCCCUACAAGGUUAUGCAUGUCUGAUGUCAAGAAAGGCAGUUUCUAUAACCUAGCCAAGCAGAUGAUAUUGAGACAUUCUUAAAUCAGAUUCAGAAUGGAGCCAUUAGUGUUCACUAGAUUCAUAAAUUAGUUGUUUAUUUCUGGUCAGUUUAACGGAACAAGCAGUUGAUAGACACAUAUACAAAUGUAUAGUAUAUGAUGAUUCAGUAUGCCUACACAUUCAGUCUAUAGGCCUGUAUUCACACAUACGUGCACAGGUGUGAUCACAGGGACAUUUGUAUUGUGUGGGGCUCCACUCCUUCUUAGAAUGAAAACAUCCAAGAAUCUUAAAGAAGAUUUCUGUAAGUGGAACAAAGGCAAAUAAGAAUUCAUGUCUGACCUCAUCUGACACAAAUACAGCUAUUAAAAAGGGAUUAACAACUUGCACACACAACAAAGGUUAUAGCCAGUCAUUAAGAGACUAUUUGACUUUCUAUACAAUUAGGACACAUUACAAGUCAGCCCAGGGUUAUGCUUGAGUGGGAGAGAUGCCGAGUAAAAGAAAAACUUACAAAUUUACAUGGAGAAACUCUGACAACUCACUGAAGAGGCGUAUGAGGCUGUGACUUAAAACAUCCUGGGAAGUGUUCCACUGAUGCCAAGAGAUGGAAACUACAAGCGAGCCAUAAAGUGAAACAACACAUAAGAAUUCCAAAUACAUAUGCUCCAUUUGUUCGAUGAGAAACAGCAGACCCACCUACAAGACAGUUCUUAAUGAUAUUUUCGUUGUGCUCUGCUAAUGUUAAUGCUCCUACUUUUUAUAUGUAUCUGUAGCUCUUCAAAAAUAAAUCCACCAGAGGGUUUGUUUAGUUUGCAAAAUAACAGAUUAAACUAAAGUAAAAAGAUAUACCAAUGACAGCUUUAAACUGGAUGAAUAUUUCUCUCUCCCCAUGCCGACCUGUAACAAGUAAUAAAAAGUUGUAAUAACUUUUUCAUACCAUAUGUGUUAUAUGUCUGUCCCCAUGGGAUCUUUUCCAUCCAAUGAGCUUGUUGGAUGGCUGGCCCUUGUUGUAAAUUGGUAAAAAUGAAAGAAUUAACUGAUUUCUGACUUUGCUGAAGUUCUGCAAAAAAUUAAGGAAGUGCUUCCAGAAAUGGGUUUUGUUUUUAUGGAUUAAAUUUGCUUUCUGUUUGUGCGAAGCACAUAGGUAUGUUAUAUAUGUAAAACAGCUAACCAGGAUGCAUCUCUUAACGAGUAGUACAGUGGGCAGCUGUCAUUCCUCUGUACCACAAGCUGACGGGCAAAAUUAUUGUCUGCACCAGUCAUUUGGUACAACAGAAAUAAAGUUAUUGUAAUAUUAUGUUCUGGUUGCCUUCUCCACCCCAAUUUUGAUGUGAGACAAUGUGUUGCAAUUUUAAAAAAAAGAGUAAGUUGUUUAUUAGUUCAUAACAUGCUAGAUUUUUUUAUUGGUUAAUUAAUAUUUCACUUUAAAUGUGAAAAAGAUAACUUUUUAAUAUUUUAACUGUUUUCACUUCUACUACAUUGUUUCCUUGUAUAUUUGAUAAUUACCUACAAUAAUUUCCAUUAAAGCUGUCAGUAAGAAACUAA